AAUUCGAUUGAGUUUGAUCCUGGCUCAGGACGAACGCUGGCGGCGUGCAUAACACAUGCAAGUCAAGGGGGUCAGUAGCAAUACUGGCAACCAGCGAACGGGUGCGUAACACGUAAGCGACCUACCUCGGUGUGGGGCAUAGCCGGUCUAACGACCGGGUAAUUCCGCAUACGCUCUCGAGAGUGCAUACUCUUGAGAUGAAACCAGUAAUGGGCACUGAGAGGGGCUUGCGGCCUAUCAGCUAGUUGGUGAGGUAACGGCUCACCAAGGCUACGACGGGUAGCUGGUCUGAGAGGAUGGCCAGCCACAUUGGGACUGAGAUACGGCCCAGACUCCUACGGGAGGCAGCAGUGGGGAAUCUUGCGCAAUGGCCUAACGGCUGACGCAGCGACGCCGCGUGAGGGAUGAAGCUCCUCGGAGUGUAAACCUCUGUUGCCCGGGACGAAUAGCGGAUUAUUCCGACUUGACGGUACCGGGUGAGGAAGCACCGGCUAACUCCGUGCCAGCAGCCGCGGUAAUACGGGGGGUGCAAGCGUUGUCCGGAAUCACUGGGCGUAAAGGGCGCGUAGGUGGUCUUGUAAGUCUGUGGUGAAAGCCCGGGGCUCAACCCCGGGUCUGCCGUGGAUACUGCGAGACUUGAGUACUGUAGAGGCAGGUAGAAUAUCGGGUGUAGCGGUGGAAUGCGUAGAGAUCCGAUAGAAGACCGGUGGCGAAGGCGGCCUGCUGGGCAGUAACUGACACUGAGGCGCGACAGCG
Molecule: ribosomal RNA, 756 nt
Filed under: uncultured bacterium
Lineage: Bacteria
Description: bacterial SSU rRNA
Rfam family: Bacterial small subunit ribosomal RNA
Source: RNAcentral